This is a long non-coding RNA of Sebastes umbrosus (honeycomb rockfish), 531 nucleotides long. RefSeq lists it as uncharacterized. The transcript has 2 exons. Lineage: Eukaryota; Metazoa; Chordata; Actinopteri; Perciformes; Sebastidae. The record is from RefSeq and is a predicted model, not a curated record.
AGAGAGGGAGCUAAAAAGACAACUUUGUUUCCCUGAUCUUUUGCUGGGAGGAGAGGAAGAGAAUGCACAGUCACUCUGGCAGACGAGAGGAAUUGGCCGCCCUCCCCGACCCGGACAAUGGACAAAGGCGGCGAGGCAGGUGCAGCUUGGAAAGCCUCUCAUCAGGUGAGAGGCGAUACGCGUCUCCGACCGUUGCAGCAUCCAGCCGACGACAGCCCCAAGGUGACUUUAAGAAUGGGACUUGGGAGGAAAGUUUGCUGCGUUCACUUUGAACUUAAAGCCACAGAGAGCAGACGCUGAUUUAGUAAAGAUAGUUUUAUUACGGAUUUUUGAGCAUUGCUUUCAGUGAUUCGGUGAGUCAAGGACAAGACAGAGAACACAGACGAAGUAAAAGGAUUACAUUUAAAAUAUGCCAUUAUAUGAACCAGUGUUUUACUUACAUGACAAAACUGGGUAGCAUUGCACCAUCCCGUGAAUGUAACCGCAAAUGUUUGCACUUUCUGCUGAGGUGUGAAAAUACAUGAAAAAAAA